Molecule: long non-coding RNA, 2413 nt
Organism: Benincasa hispida (wax gourd)
Lineage: Eukaryota; Viridiplantae; Streptophyta; Magnoliopsida; Cucurbitales; Cucurbitaceae
Source: RefSeq, a predicted model, not a curated record
CAUUAAUCAUAGAUUUCAAAAUCCUCUUCUAAAAAAAAAAAAAAGAUUUCCAAAUUAAAAACGACAUGUCGACCAACCCUCGAGGAUCGGUUCCAAAUAAAACAUCGGCAUUUCCUCCCCCAAUCUUAGCGUCAGCUGCACUUCAAUGUCCAUCCUCUCUCUCUCCUCUCCUCCUCUCUCUCUGACAUCGAUUAACCUUUCUUCCUGAUUUUCUGUUUAAUUAGGAGGGAUAAGAAUUGAAUCAAGUAACGCAAGAUUUCAAUCUACAACCAUGGUUUUUGGGCUUCGAUCUUUCAGCGUUUUCAUGGCGUCGCUCCUUCAGUUAUCAUCAAUCGCUUCGCUUGCGACCAUUUUCCUGCUGCCGCGAUCCAUAUGAGAGGCGUGGCGGCAAGAUCAUCCGGCUAGCUUCUCAUUGGUUGCUCUGAUAUUCAACCACGAUUAGAUGAAAACUCUUCACAGAAGUCUCUUCUGCAAUAAUUUUGUGCCACUCACAUUUUUGUUUGGUAGGGGUUCAUUUGCAGGUCUGUUUCACCACUUCCGUAUCUGUUUUUUUUGUGGGUAUUUGAUUGUUUUCAAUUUCGAUUUUCCUCUUUCAACUGGACUUUAGUGGUCUUUGACUUGAUGGGUAGCUCCAGAUGGUACCUCCUGUUUUUUCUGUGCCUUUUCGCUGUGUUCUCUAGUGACAGCUCCGAUCGGCGGUGGUUGUUUCCUUUUGGUACACUAGCUUUUGGAUUUUGAUGGUUUCUAUGUUGGCAUGAACUUUAUUUCCUUGAGUUUAUUUGAAUUGACUGAGAUCAUAUUCAAUCUGUUGAAACUUUAUAAUCCAUGCAUUUGGGGUGAGAGGGGGGUGCUUGACAAUAAAUUAUUGGCUGUAGACAUGUAUGCCUUUGGUCGAAGUUGACCAUCCAUGACUCUUUAUUUUAUUCCAUUCACCUUUGCAUAAUUAGUAGAUUGAUUGAAAGAGAACGAAGUAGAACAAUUUAUGCAACUCUUUUGUUGUAAUUAUAGUUCUCAAAGUAUUGCCCUCUAUUGAUUCUGUACUUGGAGACUGCGAGAUUCUCCAAAUCUUCCAUAUCUUCCUUGGAUAGUUGCAAUUCUUAAGGGAUAUUUGCCAAUUUGGAGUGUGAUACUUGCUUGCCACAGUAAUGGAAACAGGAAACUUAACAACAGAAAUGAUAAUGGAGGGGUCCCUAGGUGAAGGUGGAGAAGGCUUUCUUUAUGUUGGUAUAUUCAUACACAACGUUUUAUUAUCUUUUGUUUUUCAGAGUUUGGAAUCUCACCCCAUCUUUGAUAACAAUUGAGGAAUCUGCUGAAGAGUUGUUCAGACGGUGACCUCCUUCAAUGUUAGGGACAAUCUUUCUUGGACUCUAGAUUUACAAUUGGAAACUAGGACUUUUUUGUGUUUGGACUAUUGGAGUAAUGUUCUGUUAGCUUCUGUGUUUCUUGUUCUCUUCCCACAGUCUAAGUUAGAAGACUGCUAAAGACAACUAUAUAAAGCUUGAAAUUUCGAACGUUAUCAAGCAGCUGGUUAGGAGCUGUUUUUCUAUGACAGAUUUCUAUUUCCAAGAACAGAAACUAAUAUACACAUAUCUGCUCUACUAGUUUUUAAAAGCUGUUUUCUCUUCUUCUGUUUCUUUAGUCUGUUCUCACGGAUGGCGUCGUUUUACAAGAUUUGAAGAACAUGUUCUUACAUGAACCAUGAGCAUGAGCAUGAGCAUGUGCAAGUAGUUCUAAAUAGAUAAAUCGCUGCCAUCAUAGUUCAUAGGAAUAAUUUUUAAAGUAAUUGCUUUAAUUGUUUUGAAAAUGAUCUCCUAAAACAUCGAUACCAUGCAUGAUUAGAGUUUACUGAUAUUGCAUAAGUAUACAUUUCUGUGAAGGGAUACGUCACUAUUGUCCUUUCAUGGUCGUUUAUUGGUGUCAAUUUAGGGGGAGGGAGGCUACAAACAAUCAAUUUGCAGUUGGCAGACAUUAGAAACCUUAGAAAAGAGAUGCCAUUAUCUGAAUUCUAAAUAUGUUGGAUGGUUAUUUCUUAACCUAUCAACUUCACUUUUCAGCAAUUCUAAACCAUUUGAAGCGUUUCCUAGAGUUGCAAGAUACAGUGAUACACUGUUCUUGUUUUAUUUGUUUUACAUAACCAUUUCAUUUUACUUUGGCUUGCAGUUUAGCUGGAUUGAUAAUACAGCUUAAGCAGAACACAAAUAUUGAAACAACAGCGAAAGAGAAUUGAAAGAAUUCGGGAGUAAUGCAAUUACAAAGCUACAGAGUGCUAAUUUUCACAAUAUUGUUUACUAUUCUAUCUAGUGCCAUAGAUAAUCAUAAGAAAAGGCAAUCCCUCCCCCUCCCUGGAAGAGAAAAACAUUAAAAAAAAAACAAAAGAAUUUGAUCCACUAACAUAGAGUAAUUUUUGGUACAA